UGCCAGCCGCCGCGGUAAUACGGAGGGGGCAAGCGUUGUUCGGAAUUACUGGGCGUAAAGGGCGCGUAGGCGGGACGUCAAGUCAGGGGUGAAAGGCCUGGGCUCAACCUAGGAACUGCCUUUGAAACUGACGACCUUGAGUACGGGAGAGGAUGGCGGAAUUCCCAGUGUAGAGGUGAAAUUCGUAGAUAUUGGGAAGAACACCAGUGGCGAAGGCGGCUAACUGGCUCGGUACUGACGCUGAGAUGCGAAAGCGUGGGGAGCAAACAGGAUUAGAUA
This 279-nucleotide ribosomal RNA is filed under the name uncultured bacterium. RNAcentral's name for it is "partial 16S ribosomal RNA". It matches the Rfam family "Bacterial small subunit ribosomal RNA", at positions 506 to 784 of the family's 1533-position model. The record is from RNAcentral.